UGCGUAGGCGGCUUUUUAAGUCGGAUGUGAAAUCCCCGAGCUUAACUUGGGAAUUGCAUUCGAUACUGGGAAGCUAGAGUAUGGGAGAGGAUGGUAGAAUUCCAGGUGUAGCGGUGAAAUGCGUAGAGAUCUGGAGGAAUACCGAUGGCGAAGGCGGCUUACUGGACUGUAACUGACGUUGAGGCUCGAAAGCGUGGGGAGCAAACAGGAUUAGAUACCCCCGUA
This 225-nucleotide ribosomal RNA is filed under the name uncultured Acinetobacter sp. Its description in RNAcentral is "partial 16S ribosomal RNA". It matches the Rfam family "Bacterial small subunit ribosomal RNA", at positions 568 to 792 of the family's 1533-position model. The record is from RNAcentral. Lineage: Bacteria; Pseudomonadati; Pseudomonadota; Gammaproteobacteria; Moraxellales; Moraxellaceae.